UACGGAGGGUGCAAGCGUUAUCCGGAAUUACUGGGUUUAAAGGGUGCGUAGGCGGCCAGAUAAGUCAGAGGUGAAAGUCUAUGGCUCAACGGGAGGAUUGCCUUUGAUACUGUAUGGCUUGAAUCAGGUUGAGGUUAGCAGAAUGUGGCAUGUAGCGGUGAAAUGCAUAGAUAUGCCAUAGAACAUCGAUUGCGAAGGCAGCUGGCUGGGUCUGUAUUGACGCUGAGGCACGAAAGCGUGGGGAGCGAACAGG
RNAcentral lists this ribosomal RNA (253 nucleotides) under uncultured bacterium. RNAcentral's name for it is "partial 16S ribosomal RNA". It matches the Rfam family "Bacterial small subunit ribosomal RNA", at positions 524 to 776 of the family's 1533-position model. The record is from RNAcentral.